Molecule: ribosomal RNA, 1356 nt
Filed under: Triticum aestivum (bread wheat)
Lineage: Eukaryota; Viridiplantae; Streptophyta; Magnoliopsida; Poales; Poaceae
Description: partial small subunit ribosomal RNA
Source: RNAcentral
AUGGUGGCCUUGAAGGGCUUGGCCGUCCGCGACAACAAUCUCGAAGGCGAGCUUCCCGCUACCAUCACAUCGCUCAGGAAUCUCCAAUACCUCGCCCUGUCUGACAACAACUUCACCGGCACCAUACCGCCGGACCUUGGCAAGGGGCUAAACUUAACCGUCGUGAGCUUGGGGCACAACAGCUUCUCCGGCGAGCUGCCGCAGAGUCUAUGUGACGGUCUCAAGCUGCAAAACUUCACGGCACACCGCAACAACUUCAGCGGCAGGCUGCCAUCGUGCCUCAAAAAUUGCACGGCGCUGCUGCGGGUGCUGCUGGAAGGCAACCAAUUCACCGGCGACAUCUCCGAGGUGUUUGGUGUCCAUCCCAACUUGGAAUACCUCGAUGUCUCGGGGAAUCAGCUGACAGGCAACUUAUCAUCGUCUGAUUGGUCACAGUGCACCAAUCUUACACGCUUACACAUGAACGAUAAUCGAAUAUCUGGCAACAUUCAUGAAACCUUCUGCGGAUUGACAUCUCUCCAGGAUCUGGACCUAUCAAAUAACCAACUCACCGGGGAGCUCCCAAAUUGCUGGUGGGAAUUCAAACUUAUGGUUGCUAUGGAUUUGUCCAAGAAUAGAUUUUCAGGUGAGCUUCCUAUAUCAACGAGCCUGGGCCUCAAACUCCAGUCCCUUGGUCUUGCUAACAAUAACUUUCUUGGAGUUUUUCCAUCCGUAAUUGAAACCUGCAGAUCACUCGUCAUCCUAGAUCUUGGGAACAACAUGUUCUUGGGUGAUAUCCCCUCUUGGGUUGGAACGAGUGUUCCUCUUCUAACAGUUCUGAGCCUCCCAUCCAACAACUUCAGUGGUGUCGUUCCACCCGAGUUAUCCCAACUUUCUAAUCUGCAAGUCAUGGACCUGUCCAACAACUCCUUCUCAGGUGAGCUCCACAUGGACAUGCCAAACCACAAUUGCUCCCUUGAGUCGUUUCAUAUUGCAGGCAAUGGCUUCAUGGGCGCCUUCCCGCCGUUCCUCCAAGGCUGCAUCUCCCUGUCCACCCUGGACAUCGGGAACAACCAGUUCUUUGGUGGUAUCCCUACAUGGAUUGGGAGUCAGCUUCCAUCACUGAAAAUCCUCAGACUUAGAUCAAACAAUUUCACCGGAGAAAUCCCCACGGACUUAUCAAGUCUUUUGCAACUCCAGCUGCUCGAUAUGGCCAACAAUAGCUUGACAGGAUCAAUUCCGGUAGCCUUCGGAAACUUGAACUCCAUGAGGCAUAAUCUUCCCCCAUCUGUCCAACCAAUUCCGGUCCUCACUGGAACAAGUCACCUGUAUACAAGAAGGGCCGUGAACAAACUUUUCAGAAAAGCAUCGGGUUAA